Molecule: transfer RNA, 75 nt
Filed under: Candidatus Sungiibacteriota bacterium
Lineage: Bacteria; Candidatus Sungiibacteriota
Description: tRNA-Asp
Rfam family: tRNA
About the family: Transfer RNA (tRNA) molecules are approximately 80 nucleotides in length. Their secondary structure includes four short double-helical elements and three loops (D, anti-codon, and T loops).
Source: RNAcentral
GGGCCGUUGGAGCAGCCCGGAGUGCUCGUCUCCCUGUCACGGAGAAGGUCACGGGUUCAAAUCCCGUACGGCCCG